This 715-nucleotide ribosomal RNA is filed under the name Acinetobacter baumannii. RNAcentral's name for it is "partial 23S ribosomal RNA". It matches the Rfam family "Bacterial large subunit ribosomal RNA", at positions 1151 to 1884 of the family's 2925-position model. The record is from RNAcentral. Lineage: Bacteria; Pseudomonadati; Pseudomonadota; Gammaproteobacteria; Moraxellales; Moraxellaceae.
GAGUGAUCCUGCGCCGAAGAUUUCCGGGGCUAAAACUUACUACCGAAGCUACGGCAUCAGUAAUGAUGGGUAGGGGAGCUUCCCAUACGGGUUGAAGCAUGACCGUAAGGACAUGUGGACAGUAUGGGAGUGAGAAUGUUGGCAUGAGUAGCGAGAUGUGGGUGAGAAUCCCACAGGCCGUAAACCCAAGGUUUCCAGGGGAAGGUUCGUCCGCCCUGGGUUAGUCGGGACCUAAGCUGAGGCCGAAAGGCGUAGGUGAUGGACAACAGGUUGAUAUUCCUGUACUACCGAUAACCGUUUGAGGGAAGGGAUGACACAGUAGGAUAAGCUAAGCACACUGUUGGUUAUGUGUGCCCAAGCAUUGAGGCAGUCAAAGUAGGCAAAUCCGCUUUGAUAAUACUGGGAUGUGAUGGGGAGCGAAAUUUAGUAGCGAAGUAGCUGAUUUCACACUGUCAAGAAAAGUCUCUAUCGAGGUUAAAGGUACCCGUACCGCAAACCGACACAGGUGGGUGAGGAGAGUAUCCUAAGGCCAGCGAGAGAACUGUUGUUAAGGAACUCGGCAAAAUGACCCCGUAACUUAGGGAUAAGGGGUGCCACCAUCAGGUGACCGCAGAGAAUAGGCCCAAGCGACUGUUUACCAAAAACAUAGGUUUCUGCUAAGUCGCAAGACGAUGUAUAGGAGCUGACGCCUGCCCGGUGCUGGAAGGUUAAGGGG